CAAUAUGCAGUUUGAUCAUUCCUGCUGCAAAUAGUAUACAUACUGUGAUUCUAUAUUGCAGAAAAGGUGUUAGAUGAUCGAUAUGUGCUAUAAUCUAAUAUAAGCCCCCCUCCAGUGUGGAGAGCAUAAUAACAUGAAUGUAGAGGGAAAGAAGUGUUUCCAAGGGCACAUAAUGCUUCUAGUACACAAAAAUAGGGUGAUCUGUGCCACUUUUGCUGCUAUCAAUUGCACAAAGUAGAUCACAUACAACACGUCCACCAACAGUACAUGCAAUUUUAUAGUUUGCGCACACAGAUAAGUGUGUGGGAAUUGGAUCCUCAAAGAUCAGGCUCUUAAUAUUUUCAGAAAAUGGGAGUAUUAUUAGAAUCAGACCUGCAGCUGGCUCUGUAUUGUUCUUUUUCCUCCUGCCUAACGUGGAUUUCAGUUCUUGCUGAGGUGUGUUUGCUGAUCUUCUUCUGGGUGUGGCUUCUUCUUGAGUUCCAUUUUCUUCUUCCUUUGCUGCUUUUGUGGGCUUUUUGGCUGCUUUUUUCUUCACUGUGCUGUCAGAGUUGUGUUUCCUGGACACCUGAAGUACAGCCACAAUGGGGUUAGAUUUCUAUGUGCUGGUGGUGAUUACCUACUGAAUAUACCUUUUUCUUGCGGGGGUAAUCAUGGUCUGCAUCUGUAUCUUUUCUCUUUUUGGCCUUUGGAGACUUUGAUUCUGGAGCCAUAGGACCUGGAUCGCCCUGAAAUGACACCAUUUUCUAUUAGUCAAUACAUGCUACAAAUAUAGUUGUUACGUAUGAAAAUGUGUUUGCAUACUUUGAACCACAUAGUCCUGCCAUUGUGGUCGCGUACAGACUUCAUUCCAUCCACAUAGUAACACUGCAACCAGGCCUCAAAACCUGAGUAGUCUUUCUUCUCUGGAUCGUAACCUUUCCCACCUCCAUAAACAAAAAGUCUAAAUAAGAGGAGCACCUUUGUGUCGUUGUCUUCCCCCCACCCCGAUCAACCUUGAAACAUGGAUUCUUACCUAAGUUCACCACCUCCAGCGGUACUGUGUGGCAAAGUCUGAGCAGGUCUGUAUUCUCCUCUUCCAUUUUGUCCUUUUUGGCUCCCUUAACAUUUUUGGGCAAAAUAAACUGUUAAUAAUCGAGGUAAAAUACUUGUUUGUACUUAUUUGACCUUUUUGCUAUGGAUCUCCUUUUUUACAGCUUUCUUGUCUUCACACGCAUCCUCUGACUCGAGGCCUUCCAGCACAGUCCGGGCAGGCACAAAGGGUGGAAUGUUCAACCUGGAAGACACACAUGGGCAUCUUUCCAAAAACAGAAGGUAUUUUGUGUGGAAACAGUGCUACACUUUUAUAGUAAACACAUUUCCAAGUGAAAUUAGGAAUUGCUUGUUUAUUCAUCCAAGAUGAUUAGAAUCUGGGGAAUACAAAAACAUUCUUCACUCUCCUUUUCAGAUCACGGUGACCUGAGUAUGUAUCUUCAUUCAAUGGUCAUUUCUUUUACAGCAGGCUCUUUGGUGAAGUGUAAUAUUAUUGCUAGGAGUCUUGCAAAAGUACUUCACACAGUGGGCACGGCUGUAACAAAAUAACACUGCAAUGUACUGUCAACAUGUACAAAACCCCAAACCAGUGAAGUAGCACGUUGUGUAAAUGGUAAAUAAAAACAGAAUACAAUGAUUUGUAAAUCCUUUUUAACUUAUAUUCAAUUGAAUAGACUGCAAAGACAAGAUAUUUGAUGUUGGAUCUGAGAAACUUUUUUUUUUGCAAAUAUUAGCUCAUUUUGGAAUUUGAUGGCUGCAACAUGCUUAAAAAAAGCUGGCACGAGUGUCAAAAAAGACCGAAAAAGUUGAGGAAUGCUCAUCAAACACUUGUUUCCCAUAGCAAAGCAAAAUUGAAGAUGAGAUCUCAUGUAUGUCUUAUAUAUAUCUCCUAGACAUAAAAGAGCACUAAUGGAGACCAAAGUAGUUUUCUCCUUCUUCUCAAAUGUAUCUCCUGAGAAAUAAGGCUCACAGUGAGCACUAUGAGAGAUCUCAUAGUUGUCUAAUAGUUAUCUCUUUUCCCCAUUUCAACUAAGACCAAAAUGAGAGAUGAAUGAGCUGGUCUCCAAUAUGUCUCAAUUAUGACUCAGUGAGAGAAACACCUGGUUUUGUUUCUCACUACUCACUGUUUGAGUUCUCAGAUGUCUCUUUUCUAUUUCGGCAAAAAGACAAUUGAUGAGUAUUGGUUUCAAUAUGUCUCAAUGAUGUCUCAGUGAGAGAUAUACUUGGUUUUGUCUCUCACUGCUCACUAUUUGAGUUGUUAGAUAUAC
This is a long non-coding RNA of Nerophis ophidion (straightnose pipefish), 2297 nucleotides long. RefSeq lists it as uncharacterized. NCBI's taxonomy places the organism in Eukaryota, Metazoa, Chordata, Actinopteri, Syngnathiformes, Syngnathidae. The record is from RefSeq and is a predicted model, not a curated record. The transcript has 2 exons.